UACGUAGGGGGCAAGCGUUAUCCGGAUUCAUUGGGCGUAAAGCGCGCGUAGGCGGCUUGUUAAGUCAGAUGUGAAAACCGGGGGCUCAACCCGCGGCCUGCAUCUGAAACUGACAGGCUUGAGUCUGGUAGAGGAAAGUGGAAUUCCUGGUGUAGCGGUGAAAUGCGCAGAUAUCAGGAGGAACACCAGUGGCGAAGGCGGCUUUCUGGGCCACGACUGACGCUGAGGCGCGAAAGCUAGGGGAGCGAAC
This 250-nucleotide ribosomal RNA is filed under the name uncultured bacterium. RNAcentral describes it as "partial 16S ribosomal RNA". It matches the Rfam family "Bacterial small subunit ribosomal RNA", at positions 524 to 773 of the family's 1533-position model. The record is from RNAcentral.